Long non-coding RNA from Drosophila ficusphila, 588 nucleotides. RefSeq lists it as uncharacterized. The transcript is spliced from 2 exons. The record is from RefSeq and is a predicted model, not a curated record. Lineage: Eukaryota; Metazoa; Arthropoda; Insecta; Diptera; Drosophilidae.
UCAUCGCCGCUUGAUCGUCGGACGUGCUAAGCCCGAUUUCGUAUUAAAUCGCCGGAGAAAGAUUAUAGUUUGGAAGCAACAACAAACAACAAAGAUUAGCCUAACCUAAUCGGAACUUUAAAGCGACACUGCCUUGGCAGAGGCAGCAGUAAACAGUCAACAGUAAACACAAAACAGUAAACAGUAAACAAACACGCAAACAGACAACAGUGAACAGUGAACAGUGAACAGUGAACAGACAACUGGCAGUGCAAGAAGAGAGGAGAGGAGAGCGAGACAUUUUCCGAUUUUCCCUGCAGUUGCACACACUGAGAAAAUGGCAGAAAGCCGAGCCGAGUGGCAUUCGUGCCGUGACUUUUCCGCUCGGCUCUUUUCGAUUUUCCGCUAAGGAUAAGUUGCUCGGUUGCACGCUAGAUUCUGUCAUAACGGCUUCGGCACUCGUGGCGUUCGUCUCGCUUUUCCGGCUAAAAUUCGCAGAUGCGAAUUGCUAACUUAUUUAGAACCCGCUUUCGAAAACGUUUUUCAAGUUCAACCAACCAUAUUUUUUUGCUGUGUUUCUAACGCGAGUUUACUCAAAAUAAUUAAAAA